Molecule: long non-coding RNA, 346 nt
Organism: Papaver somniferum (opium poppy)
Lineage: Eukaryota; Viridiplantae; Streptophyta; Magnoliopsida; Ranunculales; Papaveraceae
Exons: 3
Source: RefSeq, a predicted model, not a curated record
UCUGUUCGGAAUUAGGUUUAUGGAGGAUAUUAAUUAAUGAGUAUCAAUCUCAACAUCGGCGAUUCACACAAGAAGAAUCGGGUUGAAGUCUCAAAUACUAAAAACCCCCCUUCUUCUAUGGAAAUCUUGCCAAGGUACAUGCAACAAUCCAAUGAGGCGAAGCUUUCUGCUCUUGAAUGGGUUCAGAGUGAAGAGAAAAACUUGAGUCGGGAGGACAAACUAAAUUAUGUUUCUCACUGCAAGUUACCAUGAGCAACUCUCAGAUUUCCUUUCAUAUAAACCAACUUUAAACUAAGUUGGUUGAAGCAUUAAGGUGUGGAGUUUUAAGUUGACACUGAAGUAAAAA